UUUAUUUUGUUUGUUUGUUUUUUGACAGAGUCUUGCUUUGUCGCCCAGGUUGGAGUGCAGUGGCACGAUCUUGGCUCACUGCAACCUCCGCCUCCUGAGUUCAAGUGAUUCUCCUGCCUCAGCCUCCCUAGUAGCUGGGAUUACAGGACAAGGAGAGGGACAAAUUCCUUCUUGGCAUCCUUAUGGCCCUGUGACCUGCUAAUGAAUGCUGACCCUGAGUUGCUACUAGAAUUUGGUUUCCUUGUGGCUUCCCAGGAAUUGUGAGCCAUGUUGGAUAAGGACCUGCAAGGGAAGAAUGAGGAAGCCUGGGACAGUGCAGGAGGGGAGAGCACUGGUGGUAGGCAGGAGUGAUGACAAGGGUCUCCACCAAAAGGGAAAUGGAGGGGUUAAAGAAGCUGCUGGGGGGGGGGGUUCAAAACAAUGUGUUCUCACUCGUAGGUGGGAAUUGAACAAUGAGAACACUUGGACAC
This 470-nucleotide small RNA is filed under the name Pan troglodytes (chimpanzee). Its description in RNAcentral is "retained intron". The record is from RNAcentral. Lineage: Eukaryota; Metazoa; Chordata; Mammalia; Primates; Hominidae.